CCUACGGGAGGCAGCAGUGAGGAAUAUUGGUCAAUGGCCGUAAGGCUGAACCAGCCAAGUAGCGUGAGGGAAGACGGCCCUAUGGGUUGUAAACCGCUUUUAUACGGGGAUAAAGGUGUUUACGUGUGGAUGUUUGCAGGUACCGCAUGAAUAAGGACCGGCUAAUUCCGUGCCAGCAGCCGCGGUAAUACGGAAGGUCCGGGCGUUAUCCGGAUUUAUUGGGUUUAAAGGGAGCGUAGGCCGGUUGUAAAGCGUGCUGUGAAAUUUUGUGGCUCAACCCUGAGCGUGUUGCGCGAACUGGAGACCUUGAGUGCGCGGAAGGCAGGCGGAAUUCGUGGUGUAGCGGUGAAAUGCUUAGAUAUGACGAAGAACCCCGAUUGCGAAGGCAGCCUGCCGCAGCGUUACUGACGCUGAUGCUCGAAAGCGCGGGUAUCGAACAGGAUUAGAUACCCGUGUAGUC
RNAcentral lists this ribosomal RNA (460 nucleotides) under uncultured bacterium. RNAcentral's name for it is "partial 16S ribosomal RNA". It matches the Rfam family "Bacterial small subunit ribosomal RNA", at positions 338 to 795 of the family's 1533-position model. The record is from RNAcentral.